RNAcentral lists this ribosomal RNA (253 nucleotides) under uncultured prokaryote. Its description in RNAcentral is "partial 16S ribosomal RNA". It matches the Rfam family "Bacterial small subunit ribosomal RNA", at positions 524 to 776 of the family's 1533-position model. The record is from RNAcentral.
CACGUAGGGCGCAAGCGUUGUCCGGAAUUAUUGGGCGUAAAGAGCUCGUAGGCGGUCUGUUGCGUCCGCUGUGAAAACUCGGGGCUUAACCCCGAGCCUGCAGUGGAUACGGGCAGACUAGAGGUAGGUAGGGGAGAAUGGAAUUCCCGGUGUAGCGGUGAAAUGCGCAGAUAUCAGGAGGAACACCGAUGGCGAAGGCAGUGGUCUGGGCCGAUACUGACGCUGAGGAGCGAAAGCGUGGGGAGCGAACAGG